UCAUCGACUGAUGGAUUGGGCCAACUGGAACACCAUCAUUCGUCAUUGGUUGAAGGAUUUGGCCAACUGGGACGCUGUGGUUGGUCAUCGGUUGAUGGGUUUGGCCAACGGAACAUUGGGCGAUGGAUUUGGCCAACUGGAACACCGUGGUUGGUCAUUGGUUGAUGGGUUUGGCCAACUGAAGAUUGUCCAAAAGGGUUUGGCCAACUGGGACACUGUGGUUGGUCAUGGACUGAUGGGUUUGGCCAACAGAAGAUUGUCCAAAAGGGUUCAGCCUACUGGGACACUGUUGAUGGUCAUUGGUUGAUGGGUUUGGCCAACUGGAACGCCGUGGUUGGCCAUCAGUUGAUGGAUUUGGCCAAUGGAACAUUGGGCGCUGGGUUUGGCCAACUGGAACACCGUCAUUCGUCAUUGGUUGAUGGGUUUGGCCAACUGGGAUGCUGUGGUUGGCCAUCGACUGAUGGGUUUGGUCAACAGAAGAUUGUCCAAAAGGGUUUGGCCAACUGGAACGCCGUUGAUCGUCAUUGGCUGAUGGGUUUGGCCAACUGGAACACCUUGGUUGGCC
RNAcentral lists this long non-coding RNA (565 nucleotides) under Anas platyrhynchos platyrhynchos (common mallard). RNAcentral's name for it is "lncRNA (ENSAPLG00000019393.1)". Lineage: Eukaryota; Metazoa; Chordata; Aves; Anseriformes; Anatidae. The record is from RNAcentral.